Molecule: ribosomal RNA, 562 nt
Filed under: Babesia venatorum (nom. ined.)
Lineage: Eukaryota; Apicomplexa; Aconoidasida; Piroplasmida; Babesiidae
Description: SSU rRNA
Rfam family: Eukaryotic small subunit ribosomal RNA
Source: RNAcentral
UGCCUUGUAAUUGGAAUGAUGGUGACCUAAACCCUCACCAGAGUAACAAUUGGAGGGCAAGUCUGGUGCCAGCAGCCGCGGUAAUUCCAGCUCCAAUAGCGUAUAUUAAACUUGUUGCAGUUAAAAAGCUCGUAGUUGAAUUUCUGCGUUAUCGAGUUAUUGACUCUUGUCUUUAAUCGAUUUCGCUUUUGGGAUUUAUCCCUUUUUACUUUGAGAAAAUUAGAGUGUUUCAAGCAGACUUUUGUCUUGAAUACUUCAGCAUGGAAUAAUAGAGUAGGACUUUGGUUCUAUUUUGUUGGUUUUUGAACCUUAGUAAUGGUUAAUAGGAACGGUUGGGGGCAUUCGUAUUUAACUGUCAGAGGUGAAAUUCUUAGAUUUGUUAAAGACGAACUACUGCGAAAGCAUUUGCCAAGGACGUUUCCAUUAAUCAAGAACGAAAGUUAGGGGAUCGAAGACGAUCAGAUACCGUCGUAGUCCUAACCAUAAACUAUGCCGACUAGGGAUUGGAGGUCGUCAUUUUUCCGACUCCUUCAGCACCUUGAGAGAAAUCAAAGUCUUUGGA